GUCGGUGAGAUCCGUUAGCAGCCUUGAGUUCCAGCCACCGGAAGGUCAUGUUUCAACUACCACUGCCUGACCGAACAUGCCUCGUCCCCAUUGUCACCGUUAUUAUUCCCGCCACUGUCUGCUCAACAGACCUAAAAAAAAAAUACACCUCCCCAGCCCCUGCAAGCUGCACCCACCCCACUAAUACCUGGCGAGUCAUCGGAGCGUGACGGAGGCAACAGUCGCCUCCCUUGAGCUCGUCAGCGACUGGAGGUAAACAGCUUGGUCCCCACGUGUAGCCCCCCACCUCUCCCCAUACCCUCCCCACCCUCCCUCAUUCUCUUGGCAACGUUUGUUGGUCAUAUUCACGCAGUGCCACAAGACACAAGACACAAGGUCUGACCACAAGACUGUCGGUGACUUUUAGCAGCAGGUGAUACCAGCUGGGUGUCAUUACAGUGACGAGCUGCAGCCGUUGCCAUCCCCCUCCCCCAGUGGCUGCUGACGUCAACAACAUGCUGUAAAGGACGACAGACAGAAGACGACAUGAAUAUGAAUAACAGAAUGCUGGACAUCAUUCGCGGCUGGUGGUUCCAGGUGGCGCUGCACCUCUCCCUCACAGGUGUUUGGGAACCUCUGGAAGAACGGAUCAUCGUAUUCGUUGUUUUCUCCAGCCUCAUCCUCCUGACCUCUGUAGCCUACAUCUACAUGCCCGGUCACCUGCUCAUGCUCUUCCACUUUUUCCGCAAUAUCAUCAACGAAAUCACUAACAGCAAGUGACAAGGCCACGCCCCUCA
This 776-nucleotide long non-coding RNA is filed under the name Pomacea canaliculata. RNAcentral's name for it is "uncharacterized LOC112558255, transcript variant X2". The record is from RNAcentral. Lineage: Eukaryota; Metazoa; Mollusca; Gastropoda; Architaenioglossa; Ampullariidae.